CGUGCCCAUACAUACCAACGCACACAUGCGCAUACAUACUUAGAUUGAUCCAAUCAUACCUCAAGUCAUCAACCUCGUAGAAAGGAGCGUGAAUUGCGUGUACCGAUCGGAAGGGCACCGUUUUAUCUCCUCCCCGCACGUACACCUCGAUCAUCUCUGCCAAGCACGGUCGUGAUCUGCGUUUCCUGAAACUCCCCUGCGUGUGUGUAUUCUGCGCCUUCCUCUCCGCCGCUUCGCAGUGCUUUGUUCACCUCAGCCGAGGUUUCUUCGCGUCUCUCGCUUCCUUUUCCUGCCCUUCGCUUUUGCACGGUCGCAGAGGUACAGGGAGCACUGCCGCCUGCCGAAUCGCUUUUUAUCCCCUGGUUCACUCCUGCGCCAUGGCAGCGUUUAGUCGUCUCCUCGGCGUUCAGCUGCCGUAUGUGGUGGAAGUGGUCAUUUUCCUGGCUCUCGCCUACGCCACGGCGUACGUGCUCACCAGCAUUAUGUUCGCGCGCAUUCACAAAUUCAAGAUGGCUGGUCCGCUGACGGCGAUUCCUGUUCUCGGUGGGGUUGUAACUAUGAUAAGGGACCCUUACAGUUUUUGGGAGCGACAGCGCCAAUACGAGCCGCAUGGCUACAGCUGGAUGGCCAUCCUCACGCAGUUUGUCGUCUUCGUGACGCGUGCGGACCUGUGCCACAAGAUCUUCACCACCAACGGCGAGGACACUCUUACCCUCCAGUUGCACCCCAACGGCAAGUUGAUUCUCGGCGACAACAACAUUGCCUUCCAGAGCGGCCCCGGUCACAAGGUGUUGCGCUCCAGCUUUAUGAAUCUCUUCACCACCAAGGCCCUUUCCUUGUACCUGCCGAUUCAAGAGCGCAUCAUUCACGAGCACAUGAGUCGCUGGGUGAGGGACUACCCAUGGGGCGGCAAGCCAGAAGAGAUGCGCCUGCACAUCCGCGAGCUGAACUGCGAGACCUCGCAGACAGUGUUCCUUGGCGAGCACCUGCACAACCGCACUGAGUUCACUCACAACUACAACAUCAUCACCCGAGGCUUCCUCUCUGCCCCGCUGUACCUGCCUGGCACCCCGCUGUACAAGGCGGUGCAGGCCCGCAAGCUGACUAUGGUGGAGCUUCAGGCUGCGGUGCGCCGCAGCAAGGCCCGCAUGGCGAAGCCGGACGCUGAGCCGCACUGCCUGCUCGACUUCUGGACGGCGACGGUGCUGGAGAAGAUCAAGGAGGCGGAGGAAGAGGGUGGCGACGCGCCGGCGUACUCGUCGGACCACGCCAUGGCGGACACGAUACUCGACUUCCUCUUCGCUUCACAGGAUGCAUCGACUGCCAGCCUGACGAUGAUCACAGCGACGAUGGCCGACCACCCGGAGAUUCUGGAGCGUGUCCGCAAGGAGCAGGCUCGCCUGCGCCCCAACAACGAGCCGCUCACGUAUGAACUGGUGCAGGAGAUGACGUUUACGCGCCAGUGCGUGAUGGAGCAGCUCCGCCUCUUUCCCCCGGCGCCGAUGGUGCCCAUGAAGGUCCACAGCGACUUCCAGCUGGACGAGAAGACGGUCGUGCCGAAGGGUAGCAUGAUCAUUCCGUCUCUGGUGGCGUGCUGUCGAGAGGGCUUCACGAACCCCGACACGUACGACCCUGAUCGCAUGGGCCCUGAGCGCCAGGAGGACCGCAAGUUCGCGAAGCAGUUCAUCCCAUUCGGCGUUGGUCCGCACCGCUGUGUCGGCUAUAACUACGCCAUCAACCACCUCACCGUGUACCUCGCACUCAUCGCGCACCACGUCCGGUGGCAGCGCACGCGCACUCCUGACUCCGACAAGAUUCUGUACCUACCCACCCUGUACCCCCACGAUUGUCUACAGACAUGGCGCUACCGUGAAGGGAUGGAACCCAAGGCUGAGGUGUAGAUCGAGGAGGGAGAAACGCAGGUGGGCCGCGCAUAACACGCGUCUUUUGCCACCUCAUCGUGUUCACAGCGUGCGCGUGAGCGCGUGCAUUAACUGAUGGCUGGAAGAGGCGAGAGCGCGACGAGGUUGUAGCCGCUGUGCUGCUUGCCCUCUAUUUCACGCUUCACCCUCCUCACGCGUCUAUGUCUCCGCACUGACAUCAGAAGGGGCUGAAAUAAAAAUUUCAAGACACGAUUGCGGGGGGAGGGGCGACGGUGGAAACGAUAGAGAGCAAGUAAAAACGAAAAAAAAAUCAAACAAGCCGAAAAGCCGGUCAGUCACCUCUGCGAGGACGUGGAAGUAGAAAGUGAGUACUUUCAGAUUUCUUGUUCUCCAAGCAUCAAAACAGAGAGGGCCGGAAGGCGAAGAAAAGAUCCGCUAGAGGGUUUACGUGCGUAGGAGUAGGGGGUUGUCGUAUCCGCGAUUCAUAGUCUGAAGGGGGCGGGGUUCUGUGCAGCCACUUCCCUGCGUCGCUAUGCAGUGUCUGUGGAGCCACGUAUCUAUCGCUCUUGCGUGUCCAGCGAGUCGACGUGGCCUCUCGCUCUUCGUUGUUUUCGUUUCUCUCUGCAGCGACCCCUCCCUCAUUCACGCCUCGUCUUCUCUUUCUCGCCUUAUUAGUCAUACAGUGUAUGGUCUAUCUCUUAUUGGCUUACGACUCUUGUGUCGACACAAAGUUUCUUCAUUCAUUUUAUUGCGUUGCUUUUGUUAGCGUCGCGGUGUUCCCUCCAUCGCUCCUCCUUGCUGCGUCUCUCCGCCUCUUUCCCCUUCAGUAAUCCCCGCCGUUUUUUUUUUGUUGUUUCCAUCGUUCUUUUACCAUCCGAUUUUCUCUCUUCGUUUUGCGCUUGCUUAUUUUGCAUGUCCUGUGCAUUGUGAUGUUUCUGCUGACGUCAGCGUAGGGAGCGUGUAUGACGAUUUUACGUGUGUCUCUACAUUUUGUUUUCCCCGCUUGCCGUUGCAUCUCGGACGUCGUUGCCGCCUUCGCCGCUGUCGCGCACGCACCCCCCCCUCCGGACGACUCGCUGUUUUCGCGCGAGUCACGUGUGCCGCGUGAACACGGCCCAGUGAGGCAACGUCAAGGUAGAAGAAUGUUUAGUCGAAAAUAAGAACGCAGAUGCAGAGGAAUGCAGGAAGGAAAACUAAAGUUGACGCAGGCGGUAGCGAAUUCGCUUUUAGAAUUUUACUAUGUGACGCGAAGGCAUGUAGUAUCUGGCCCCAGAGGAAAAAGCAAGAGAAGCACGAAAAUGGAAGGAGAAGCGUAGGAUGCGCUAGCGACUUCUACCAGUGAUGGAGGGAAAAGGGAGUCAGUGGCCUCAGCGCUGUGGAAAACCCAUCUGGUGCGCUCGUCUUUCGCCGAUGUGGCACGCGGUCUCGGGCGACGUGGCCUACUUCCCCAUUCUCACGGAUAUCCACCGCCGCAGCGCCCUUUGUGUGGCUUGUGGGUCCCUGGUGCUUAUCU
Molecule: unclassified non-coding RNA, 3396 nt
Filed under: Leishmania donovani
Lineage: Eukaryota; Euglenozoa; Kinetoplastea; Trypanosomatida; Trypanosomatidae
Description: gene:LdHU3.30.4800(CDS-product:cytochrome_p450-li ke_protein)
Source: RNAcentral